This is a long non-coding RNA of Branchiostoma floridae (Florida lancelet), 1452 nucleotides long. RefSeq lists it as uncharacterized. NCBI's taxonomy places the organism in Eukaryota, Metazoa, Chordata, Leptocardii, Amphioxiformes, Branchiostomatidae. The transcript has 2 exons. The record is from RefSeq and is a predicted model, not a curated record.
GCCAGUUUGGGCACACCCAAUCCGUUAAUAGUUCAUUUGUUGUCCGACAGACGAGAGUUGGUAGUAGACGACUAACAAACAUCCGACAGGCUUGUGGAUAAUUCGUGGGAUAGAAACAUGGCGUCGGAAUUCGAAAGCGCAGGCCAAGGGACAAGGAAGACUCUUGAGGUGGCUCUGCUCGGAAUGCUUGGCUCCGUUUUCAUGGUGAUAGUGGUGAUGAUGAUCGGGGCCAGCUAGUAGGACUGGCACGCCACAGGCAAGCAAUUCAGCAAGAUGACACUGUAGGUCGAAGAGGCUGUAGAACUUUCCAUCAGUCCCCGUCUCUGGGUGCAGCUCUUGCGCCAGGCGCUGAACCAGGAACUCCCGACCGCUCAUCCCUCUUCACAACUACUCGACACGACACGUCAAAACAGACAUCAACCAAGGAACUUACGUAUACAAUCCGUUACAACCAAGAUCUGCCGAUGAACAAAAGAAAACUACACUGACUACACAUGUUUUCAUUACUAUAGCUAGGCAGUAACUUUCAUGUGUGUAUGCAAAACAUGUAAAUGUUUGUGGUCGUAUUGAUGUACACAAAUAUGACUGAUACAUGCAGACUUGAACUUUCAGUUGAUGCAUUUUUACAUUUCUGUAUCAUAUUUUCCCUUUGUGUAUGUUUUCUUUUAAUGUAUUCAUAGCGUAUGUUUACCUUUUCUUAUCCAUGCGUAUUUUCAUCGAAGUUACGUCUCGCAGAAUCAAUCUAACUCUGAUCCGCGCCUUCCAGUCACUUUCAUCAAAGAGAGUCAUGAUGGGAAAAACAUGCCCAAAUAUUCGUGCUUGGAUUGAAUUGAAAAUAUGCAUGAAGUAUGGAAAAAUACAUUCAUAGGCUCCGGAAUAAGGUCAUGAUCACAAACGUGAUAUGAUGAUUGCGUUGAUUAAGAAAAUAUACCCAAUAUGGAAACGUUUGAUUAAUGGAUGCAUCCGUUAAGUUCAAUAUGUGUAUUCGCUUACAUCAUGGAAAUGUGUGUACGAGGGUGAGUAAAAAAAUAAUGCUAUCGAUUUUAUAACAGGCGUACUUUUUCGUCGAAUGAGCUGACAUUUGGCAUAACGGUAAAGCAAAUAACUUUAUGAGAUUGAAAUACCUCAAUGUGUGUUCCAGGCUUCUAUGAGUUAAUGACUUCAUUUCAAGAUGACCACACCUUUGGAAAAAAAGCAGUACAAGGGAUUCGGAGGUUCAAUCAACGCGCAAUUAAGAAUAUCCCUGACGCACGUUUAGCUAUUGAGGAGACUGAAAAUAUACAUGUAUCACGCUGCAUUUAUCUAUAAGCCGCAUGCUCAUUUUCAACUCUGAAAUCCGAUCAGGUUGUCUUUUUUUUUCCUUGCUGGAGCAGAGUGAGGUAUGAGUUGAAUUCUGAGCGGUCGUCAGGAGCCAUGAUAUACGCCGUGCUGAUUAAAUGUUUCUAUAGCCUA